RNAcentral lists this long non-coding RNA (233 nucleotides) under Trifolium pratense (red clover). RNAcentral's name for it is "long non-coding RNA (TPRA_LNC009611)". Lineage: Eukaryota; Viridiplantae; Streptophyta; Magnoliopsida; Fabales; Fabaceae. The record is from RNAcentral.
AGAUGUGAAGUUAUUAUUCCUUAAAGAAGCUUAUUCGAGUAAGCUCAAGAACCAAAAUCAAUUCCUUGCCUUAAAUGACUUAUUUGCACUGUUAUGAUCCUUUAAUAAGUCCAACUUAAAAGUUCUUUCUUGUCUUGUACCAGUUGACUUGAAUAAGUGCUUAUGCUUUAGAAUACACAAGUCUGGAGACCAAUCUGAGAUCAUUCUUUUACUGCAGAUUUGUCUAAAACUUG